RNAcentral lists this small RNA (510 nucleotides) under Pongo abelii (Sumatran orangutan). Its description in RNAcentral is "retained intron". The record is from RNAcentral. Lineage: Eukaryota; Metazoa; Chordata; Mammalia; Primates; Hominidae.
AGUUCAAGACCAGCUUGGCCAACAUGGUGAAACUCCGUCUCUACAAAAAUAUUUUUAAAAAUUAGCCAGGCAUGAUUAUGGGUGCCUGUAAUCCCAACUACUCAGGAGGCUGAGGCGGGAGAAUUGCUUGAACCUGGGAGGCGGAGGUUGCAGUGAGCCGAGAUUGUGCCAUUGCACUCCAGCCUAGGCGACAGAGCGAGACUCCAUCUCAAAAAAAAAAAAAAAAAAAAAAUUAACUAUAAUUCUUCUUGGUUUAGUGGUAGACGGAGGAGAAGUCCAUCCCCACCACCCACCAGAAGGCGACGGUCUCCUUCUCCCGCCCCUCCUCCUCGGCGGCGCAGGACUCCCACACCACCACCACGACGAAGGACUCCUUCUCCUCCCCCACGUCGGCGCUCACCUUCUCCUAGAAGAUACUCUCCUCCAAUACAGAGGAGAUACUCUCCUUCUCCACCUCCAAAGAGAAGAACAGCUUCACCUCCUCCCCCUCCUAAACGAAGAGCAUCACCA